RNAcentral lists this ribosomal RNA (473 nucleotides) under uncultured bacterium. RNAcentral's name for it is "bacterial SSU rRNA". It matches the Rfam family "Bacterial small subunit ribosomal RNA", at positions 355 to 825 of the family's 1533-position model. The record is from RNAcentral.
UGGGGAAUAUUGCGCAAUGGACGAAAGUCUGACGCAGCGACGCCGCGUGUGGGAGGAAGCUCUUCGGGGUGUAAACCACUGUCAGGAGGGAAGAACGGCGCCGGUUCGAACAGUUCCGGCGAUUGACGGUACCUCCAAAGGAAGCGCCGGCUAACUCCGUGCCAGCAGCCGCGGUAAUACGUAGGGACCAAGCGUUGUUCGGAUUUACUGGGCGUAAAGGGCGCGUAGGCGGCAAUUCAAGUCAUCUGUGAAAUCUCCGGGCUUAACUCGGAACGGUCAGAUGAUACUGCUUUGCUAGAGUGCAGAAGGGGCAAUCGGAAUUCUUGGUGUAGCGGUGAAAUGCGUAGAUAUCAAGAGGAACACCUGAGGUGAAGACGGGUUGCUGGGCUGACACUGACGCUGAGGCGCGAAAGCCAGGGGAGCAAACGGGAUUAGAUACCCCUGUAGUCCCUGAGCGGGCUGGCAAGGCGCAU